Molecule: ribosomal RNA, 668 nt
Filed under: uncultured bacterium
Lineage: Bacteria
Description: bacterial SSU rRNA
Rfam family: Bacterial small subunit ribosomal RNA
Source: RNAcentral
CUUAUACAUGCAGUCGAGCGGUAGAGUGACUUCGGUUGCUUGAGAGCGGCGCACGGGUGAGUAACGCGUACACAAUCUACCUUUCAGAGUGGGAUAGCCCCGGGAAACUGGGAUUAAUACCGCAUAGUAUUUAUAAUCGGCAUCGGUUAUAAAUUAAAGCUCCGGCGCUGGAAGAUGAGUGUGCGUACUAUUAGCUAGUUGGUAAGGUAACGGCUUACCAAGGCUACGAUAGUUAGGGGGCGUGAGAGCGUGACCCCCCACACGGGUACUGAGACACGGACCCGACUCCUACGGGAGGCAGCAGUAAGGAAUAUUGGACAAUGGGCGCAAGCCUGAUCCAGCCACCCCGCGUGGAGGAUGACUGCCCUAUGGGUUGUAAACUCCUUUUAUAUGAGAAGAAACGCCUGGAUUUAUCCGGGCCUGACGGUAUCUUAUGAAUAAGCACCGGCUAACUCCGUGCCAGCAGCCGCGGUAAUACGGAGGGUGCAAGCGUUAUCCGGAAUCACUGGGUUUAAAGGGUGCGUAGGUGGUUUAGUAAGUCAGAUGUGAAAGCCCGUCGCUCAACGUCGGAAUUGCAUUUGAUACUGCUGAACUUGAAUCACGUUGAGGUGGGCGGAAUGUGGCAUGUAGCGGUGAAAUGCAUAGAUAUGCCAUAGAACACCAAUUGC